Molecule: small RNA, 93 nt
Filed under: Oryza sativa Japonica Group (Japanese rice)
Lineage: Eukaryota; Viridiplantae; Streptophyta; Magnoliopsida; Poales; Poaceae
Description: sRNA Os01g0805750
Source: RNAcentral
CUUUUUGCUUAUUAUGCAGUCAUGUAAAAACUGUACAUCAUUGUUUUCUUCUCACUUAUUACCAUAUACUAAAGAUGUUGAGAUCGCUUUCUG